This 208-nucleotide unclassified non-coding RNA is filed under the name uncultured Russulaceae. RNAcentral describes it as "sequence contains ITS1". Lineage: Eukaryota; Fungi; Basidiomycota; Agaricomycetes; Russulales; Russulaceae. The record is from RNAcentral.
UCGUAUAAACCGGGGGCACAAAGGGCUGUCGCUGACCCUUCCAGGUCGUGCACGUCCGAGUGCUCUCACACAUCCAUCUCACCCUUUUGUGCACCACCGCGUGAGCCCUCCCUCGAAAAGAAAGGGGGGCUUGCGUUUUUAAAUACAAAUACUAGACAUGGUGUAGAAUGUAUCAUCCGUUUGCGAUCACACGCAUACAUAAUAAAUA